GUUUGUGCAUAUAUAUAUGCAUACACACACAUACAUAUAUUUAUAUAUUUUUAUAUAUUUGUAUAUAUAUAAAUACACACACACACACACACACACAUAAAACUAUGGCUACAAAUCUAAAUAAUAAUCAUUUCCACUUCACCAUGGUAGUAACAUCAUUAGUCUGUCCUAAAUCUCUGUCUUUGUUUCUUUUUUGACCUGCCCUGAUUUACUUCAAGGAUAUCUGAAACUACUUUUUCUCCUUUCCCCCUACACACAGAAAGCAAAUCCUAUGCUACCUGGCUCUACCUUCUGCUUUGCUUGUUUCAGGGCUGGUUAAAUGGGGCUCUAAAUUUUUAAAUGUGUAAGUUCCAGAAUCACAGAAACCUUAGAAGGUAUUGAACAGCUAAAGCUUUGAAGCAACGAGACUUUAGAUCCUCUCUCCUCAUUCCUGUUUUCCUCAUCAUAAAAGCCUUUUCAAGAAGCAGAAGAAUGAUGAAAGAGAUGGGGCCAACCAUCUCAGAGAAGUUUGUGAAAUGAAGUUGUGGAUAGUUAACAGCAAGGUUCCCAGAAGUAACAAGAUGGAAUCAGUUCAUCCCAAACACUUCGAUGUCCAGCUUCUCAGGAAAAUAAUUGGAUCCUUUGCAAAUGAGCACCAUUGCUAGUCAUAAUUGGCUACUUCAUCCUAGGGAAGAGAUAAGUAGUCCAAGAAUUUGAGAUGAUGCUCAGCGUUGCAAUAAUCUCAAAUGGAGAUCUUCAGAUACACCCUGAUAGGAGUUGGAUAUCGUAACUCUUAGAAGGAUGAGAUGGAUUCUUCUGCUAUGGUCUGCUAGAGGAAUUGCUGCAUGCAUUCCAGAGCUUACCUAUUUGCACAGAAAGCCAAUGGAGGAUGUGCACAUGCUUUCAAAAGACACAGGGUUCAACUCUAUGUUGAGUAGAAGUUCAUUUGUUAAGACAUUUUCACUGAUUCAAGAUCCCAGUAACUUUGCUGCCCAGAAGAACCCCAGAAAGCAUUGA
Molecule: long non-coding RNA, 996 nt
Filed under: Callithrix jacchus (white-tufted-ear marmoset)
Lineage: Eukaryota; Metazoa; Chordata; Mammalia; Primates; Cebidae
Description: lncRNA (ENSCJAG00000076830.1)
Source: RNAcentral